GUGAUUGCACCAAACGUGAUGGACAUGUAGUACCAGCUGAAGAACCUGGUGGCCUCUGUCUGCUCUUUCGGAUCUUCCUUGUCGAACUGAUCAGCUCCCAAAGAGGUAAGGCAAGGUGAAGUUUUGGGGCAGAAGGACUGAUUUCUCGUGCACGCUGGGGGUUUAAACGCUUUCACGGUUGCUGUAAGUGAGGUAGAUGACGAGGAAAACUGCUGCAGUCCAGAAUCUUCCAAGGACUCUGGUGAGGUAGAGGAUGAGGUUCGUGCAGACUCCAAAGUAGCCAACGGCCGCAAAUCCUUGUGUUCCUAGAUCAGCAAAGUACAGCAAUAAGCAACAAAGCCUGUAGCCAGCGCUCGAUAGCGCUCGAAUAUCAUCGCUAUCUUAUAUUCUAUAAGCACUCAGAAAGUUUAGGAGGAUUCUGGCAACUCAGCUGAGGGGAAGGAAGAAUACCAAGGAUAAGCGAGGAUGUAAACCAUCCACCGGUUUUGCAUUUCACAGCAGGCCUUCCGAACAGAUCCAGAGUUCCAUCGCCAGUAGCUUCCCGG
Selaginella moellendorffii is the source of this 545-nucleotide long non-coding RNA. RefSeq lists it as uncharacterized. The transcript is spliced from 5 exons. Lineage: Eukaryota; Viridiplantae; Streptophyta; Lycopodiopsida; Selaginellales; Selaginellaceae. The record is from RefSeq and is a predicted model, not a curated record.